AGUGUGCUAAAAACUAUUUAAUCUAUGUAAAGAAAACUUAAGUGUGAUAUACAAUUUCAGUGAUCAAUUCCUUUUCAAUAUUUGUUACAAGAAGAGGACGGUAAUAUAUGGCUAAACUUACGAAGCUUUUUUAUGUAAUGUUCUACUUUGUUUUCCUAUUUCUGGUUGCAAUAAACGGUGAUCUUCUAUGUGAAAAUGACUCUGAUUGUAAAACAAAAAUAGUUUGCACGCUUCGUCGGGUUCCUGUGUGUAAGUUUGAGAUAUGUAAGUGUAAGUUUCCUUCUGGUCGCGGCUUUCUUUCGAAAGUUGGUGGGUGAACAAGACCAAAGUGGUUGCAGACAAGAAUGACUUCUUGUUGAAGAAAAAGAUCUAAGAAAUAUUGUUUAUGAUAGCAUAUUCUACAUUAUGUCAUUUAAAUAUUGUGUUCGCAUUCAAUAACUAAGUUUAAAAUAGUAAUUUUGUAUUGAAAUUUAUAAUGAAUUUUAUAUUAAAUAUAUAACUUUUUCAUAAAUAAUUGUUGUUUUUUAAUAAAAAAAUUACUACUCUGUUGCUCUGACAUGUGCAAUAUAUACUGUAUAAUAUUAAGCAUAUAGAAUCACUCAUAUGCUCCCUCUCUUAAAAAGGAGUUGCGGACUGUUCUUUGUAAAGGUAUACAUUGCUAUGUGGCAUAGACAUUGUCACAAUAUAUAGACUUGGGCAAGUAAUAAUUUCAGUGAUUUUCCCUCUAUAGAUCAUAACAUAUGCAAUCAUGUAGGAAGAUUUGCGUAAGACUUUCAUCAAGAAGCAACCACCUAACCCUAUUUUAACAUUUAUAAGAUAGAAAUGUUUUUAUCAAUUUGCAAUGUAUCAUCCUCAUAAUUUGUAGAUUGUGGUGAAUACUUAAUUCAUGGAUCCAUAAGUAAAAUAAGGUUUUUGAUCCUA
Molecule: long non-coding RNA, 921 nt
Organism: Trifolium pratense (red clover)
Lineage: Eukaryota; Viridiplantae; Streptophyta; Magnoliopsida; Fabales; Fabaceae
Exons: 2
Source: RefSeq, a predicted model, not a curated record